Molecule: ribosomal RNA, 486 nt
Filed under: Triticum aestivum (bread wheat)
Lineage: Eukaryota; Viridiplantae; Streptophyta; Magnoliopsida; Poales; Poaceae
Description: partial small subunit ribosomal RNA
Source: RNAcentral
GCGGAGUUCUCUUAUAACAAAAAUUACCAAACCAGUUUGAAGAUGGCACCUUUCGAAGCUUUAUAUGGAAGGAGGUGCAGGACACCGUUGUCAUGGGACGAAGUUGGAGACCGUCAAUUCUUUGGACUAGAUUUGAUUAAGGAGUCUGAACGGAAAGUUAAGUUGAUUCGCGAUAGGCUCAAGGUAGCCCAGUCCAGGCAGAAGAGCUACGCAGAUUCUAAACGCAAGGAGACAGUUUACGAAACCGGAGACAGAUUUUACCUCCGAGUAUCCCCACUUCGAGGAGUUAAGCGCUUUGGAGUUAAGGGAAAGUUAGCACCGCGUUUCGUUGGACCGUAUAAGAUCUUGCAACAUAUGGGAGAAGUCGCUUAUAAGUUGGAAUUACCAGAGGGACUGUCAGGAGUUCAUGAUGUAUUCCAUGUGUCUCAGCUGAAGAAAUGUCAUGCCGAGAUGGCGGAGGUACCGCUAAGAGAUACAGUACCUCUU